UACGAAGGUCCCAAGCGUUAUCCGGAUUUAUUGGGUUUAAAGGGUGCGUAGGCGGGUUAUUAAGUCAGUGGUGAAAGCCUUCAGCUUAACUGAAGAAUUGCCAUUGAUACUGAUGAUCUUGAGUAUGAUUGAGGUUGGCGGAAUGUGUCAUGUAGCGGUGAAAUGCUUAGAUAUGACACAGAACACCGAUUGCGAAGGCAGCUAACUAAGUCAUAACUGACGCUGAUGCACGAAAAGCGUGGGGAGCAAACAGG
RNAcentral lists this ribosomal RNA (254 nucleotides) under uncultured bacterium. RNAcentral's name for it is "partial 16S ribosomal RNA". It matches the Rfam family "Bacterial small subunit ribosomal RNA", at positions 524 to 776 of the family's 1533-position model. The record is from RNAcentral.